Molecule: long non-coding RNA, 2427 nt
Organism: Carassius gibelio (silver crucian carp)
Lineage: Eukaryota; Metazoa; Chordata; Actinopteri; Cypriniformes; Cyprinidae
Exons: 2
Source: RefSeq, a predicted model, not a curated record
UCACCGCCAUCGUGUGGCUUUAGUAAACAGGUGAACGUUGAGAAAUAUGCAUUUAAACUCAUAAAUAUAAGUGCAAUAUAUCAAAGUUUAUUCCAUAUGUGUGCCAAUCUUCCUGUUGCCAGCAGGUGGCGCUAUCGUUAUAAUGGAAUAUUGGCCUUCAGAUGUGUUCAAGCCAGGACCCUUAUCACACAUGUGAAGUUUGUGCAAGAUCAGACAUUUUAUGCCUGAGUUAUAACAUCUUUUAUUCCCAUGGCGAGACAUCGAACUUCGUCAUGGCGACAUGGACAUGCCUUUUAACAAAAAUUCAAGAUCUUCACAACUAAACAUCACACAGGUCUUUAGAUUAGACUGACCACAAAAAAGACAUUGAUGUCAUAAAAUUUCUAGGAGUAGUUUGUCACAGUGUAAAAUAUGUCACUUCCAGUUGCCAAUAGGUGGCGCUAUGACUAUAACUGAAUAUUGGCAUGUAGAUCUGUUCAGGUGAAGAGUCUUAACAAAAAUGUGAAGUUUGGGGCGGAUUGGACAUUGUAUGUCUGAGUUAUAGCACCAUCAUUUUUCACGCCGAAUCAUCGAAAUUUGUCAGGCCGCCAUGGACACGCCCUUUAACGAAACCUCAAUUCCUUCGCAAUUUAACAUGGCAAAGGGCUUUAGAUUACACUGACCAAGUUUGGUGUUGAUCUGAAUAAAUCUCUAGGAGUUGUUCGUUAAAAUACAACCCCUGAAAAUGACAAAAACAACGCCAAUUUUGCAGGGAAAAUUCAAAAUAACCGACUUCCUGUUGGGAUUCGGAUUUCGUACCAAGAGACUUUUUUGUAGCUAUUGGUGUGUUACAUAUGUUUACCGAUUUUCGUACAUGUAUAUGACAUGUAGCUCGAGGCGCACUCCAUUGAAAAUGUAUAGGUGGCGCUAUCGAGCCAUUUUGCCACACCCAAUGGAAUAUUAGCCUCCAGAUGUGUUCAGGUCAGUACUCUUAUCAAACAUUUGAAGUCUGGGCAAGAUCUGAUAUUUUAUGACUGAGUUACAGCAACUUCUACUCCCAUGGCGAGACAUCGAACUUUGACAUGGUGCCAUGGACACGCCCUUUAACGAAAACUCAAGAUCUUCUCAAUUUAACAUCGUACAGGCCUUUAGAUUAGACUGACGACAAAAAAGACAUUGAUGUCAAAAAUUUCUAGGAGUAGUUUGUCGCAGUGUAAAAUAUGUCACUUCCUGUUGCCAAUAGGUGGCGCUAUGACUAUAACUGAAUAUUGUCAUGUCAAACUGUUCAGGACAGGAGUCUCAUCCAACAUGUGAAGUUUGGGGCAGAUUGGUCAUUGUAUGUCUGAGUUAUAGCAACUUCCUGUUUCAUGGCGAAUCAUCGAAAUUCGCCAGGCCGCCACACACAGGCCCUUCAACGAAAACUCAAAAGCUUCGCAAUUUAACAUCGCAAAGGCCUUUAGAUUAGGCAUACCAAAUUUGGUGUUGAUCUGAAUUAAUCUCUAGGAGGAGUUCGUUAAAAUACAACUCAUGGAAAUGACAAAAAUGACACAAAAUUUGCUCAUAAUAUUAGAAAUAACCGACUUCCUGUUGGGUUUCGGAUUUUGCUCCAAGAGACUUUUUUGUAGGUAUUGGAGAGUUACAUGUGUAUACCGAUUUUCAUACAUGUACAUGAAACGUAGCUCGAGGCGCACACCGUUGAACGUGUAUAGGUGGCGCUGUUGAGCCAUUUUGGCACACCCACUUCUGAAACCCAUAUCAGACGUAAAUUUUCGCCAGUUCUGAGGUGUGUGCAAAGUUUCAUGACUUUUCGAGCAUGUUUAGGCCCUCAAAAAUGCGAUUCAUCUUAGAGAAGAAGAAUAAUAAUAAAUAUAGCUGCAAGCAGCGAUGUCGGGCUCAAGCCAUCAGUGCAACGCCACCCUGGUGGCAUCGGGAAAACUGUGCCCAGCGGGCAUAAGCAUUUACAGUAACCCUCUGACAAUCAAGUUUUAAGGGAUGUGGCAGUUAAAGGGUUAAUCCGACCAGUCUAGACUUUGAAAUCACAUACACAGAACAAUAUAUAUAACUUUAGUAACACUUUAUUUUAAAAUGUAUAAAAAAUGUAUAAGGUGUGCAUUGUAGCUGACACCUAUAUGAACACAUUACAAUUGUUUUGUGACUACAAGUCUUUCUUCUCAAAUGCUAUUGAGUGGUCGCGAACGCGGAUGGGAGAAUGGCGCAUAUUUGUUUUGUUUUUUUUGAGCAACUGGUGCCCCCUCUGGGAGUUGGUGCUCUACGAAGACUGCAUACUCUGCAUAUAGGGAGCGGCGGUACUAUCUGGAAGAUAUAUUCCUCAAACCAUCGUACAAGUGAAGGUGAUGCUAGUCCUUCAAGAAUCGCUCAAAACCUUUUCAAGUGUACAGUUUCCUUUUAUUGCAUCUUGAAAUAAAUAUUUCUGAAUUCUGAAUCAAA